RNAcentral lists this ribosomal RNA (490 nucleotides) under uncultured bacterium. RNAcentral's name for it is "partial 16S ribosomal RNA". It matches the Rfam family "Bacterial small subunit ribosomal RNA", at positions 29 to 507 of the family's 1533-position model. The record is from RNAcentral.
AGUGAACGCUGGCGGUAGGCCUAACACAUGCAAGUCGAACGGCAGCACAGGAGAGCUUGCUCUCUGGGUGGCGAGUGGCGGACGGGUGAGGAAUACAUCGGAAUCUGCCCAGUCGUGGGGGAUAACGUAGGGAAACUUACGCUAAUACCGCAUACGACCUUCGGGUGAAAGAGGGGGAUCGCAAGACCUCUCGCGAUUGGAUGAGCCGAUGUCGGAUUAGCUAGUUGGCGGGGUAAUGGCCCACCAAGGCGACGAUCCGUAGCUGGUCUGAGAGGAUGAUCAGCCACACUGGAACUGAGACACGGUCCAGACUCCUACGGGAGGCAGCAGUGGGGAAUAUUGGACAAUGGGCGCAAGCCUGAUCCAGCCAUACCACGUGGGUGAAGAAGGCCUUCGGGUUGUAAAGCCCUUUUGUUGGGAAAGAAAUCUUUCAGGCUAAUACCCUGGGAGGAUGACGGUACCCAAAGAAUAAGCACCGGCUAACUUCGUG